This is a long non-coding RNA of Topomyia yanbarensis, 1007 nucleotides long. RefSeq lists it as uncharacterized. The record is from RefSeq and is a predicted model, not a curated record. The transcript is spliced from 3 exons. NCBI's taxonomy places the organism in Eukaryota, Metazoa, Arthropoda, Insecta, Diptera, Culicidae.
CAACCAAGUUAUUUUCUGUCUAUAUUGAGUUUCAAAUUGGUUGUAAUGUUCAUUUAAUAACUUUUUUUAGUUUUAAAGCACAGUGGAGUGAAAAAAAUGAUGGAAAACAUGCUAUGUUUCAGAUUAUCACUUAUUAAACGCACCUGCCUAAACAGAAAAAAGCCUGCCCGUUAUGUGAUUUACCUAGGCUGUAGCUUAGUUCAAGCUCGAUUAUGGUACAGUAACUUGUAACGAAAUACUCGUCAACAAAUCGGGAUUGACACUAGAAACUCUGUUAUCAUCAACGAAGAAAUUCAAUCCCAGCCGAAGUCGUUGAGAUUUUUAUGUGGUGAAAAUAAAAAUCUGCGGACACGCUUCCUUCGGAAGGAAAGUUAAACCGUUGGUCCCCGGCCCAUGAGUUCAUGAGAUAUCUAGUCCAGAUAGUGAAGUCACCUCUCUGGCAUCGGUGUUUACCUUCGUAGCAGAAAUAGGCCAACGGAAAAUAACGAAGAAGCCCACAAUCUAUUGCGAAGUAUUCACAGUUACGUAUGGACUGCAAGGCAUUUGCUAUUUCGGAGCCUCGAAGCAUUUUGUCAAGAACCUCCCCAGUGAUAGCAGAUAUAUUGUCGUAUCUUUGAUGAUGACGGACAAGAAUACUAUUAGCUAACGAAAAGACUGUCGGUCAGUGAUAUUAUUAAUUUCGACGUAUCUGAAUAUCGCCCCCAGAUGACAGCGAAAAGACAGCAACAGCGAGGAUUAAACAUGAUCCCAAUGCGUCGCUGCCGUCAUCCGAGUUUUCCCAUCAAUGGGGCAGAAAAACUUGUCAGCGUGAUUGGCAAAUUAUCCGUCCACAUUGUGUGUGAUCGUACACCUGAGGCAGAGAACCAUCUUUCAGACUAACUAUUGAGAUGGCUUCGAAUUCAGAUGAUUGUACCAGAUUGGGAACUACAUGUAUGGAGUUCGUAUGGCUUUCCCGGAAGUUAGAAACGAUUUUUUUCUGUUUUAUGUACAGUUUCAGACUACACUUA